ACUGUUGAAGACCAUAUAAUCUAGUAGAAACUCUCUCUUGUGUACUGUUAGGUAUUUAAAUAAAAAUACAUAGUCUCAUCUAAGGACUUCUGAAAUUUUACUUUCAUCAGAUUCCUCCCCUGCCAUCAGAUGAUGACUGGUAAAUGUAGAGUCCUUUUUCCACAUAAUAAAGAACCGUGGAUUGGUGUCCUUUACAUGCUGCGAAAAGGCCUUGUAGAAGCUGCAGAUUGCUACACAACAAGCUGUGAACACUGGUGUCUGCUCACAUAUGACUGCUUGUGCUGGUUUGUACUCAUUGGCUGUAAAGCUGGUAUAAAGAGCGGAUAGGCCAAACAGAUCCAAGGUAAAGAAUAGCUGUUAAGGUACAAGAUGUUGCCAUAGAUAUAUCACUGUCUGGGUGAGGAUGCUAGACGUGUGUGUGUAGGCAUACGUCAUUUGGGGCUCUUCUACAUAUGGUUUCUGGAAGCUCCAGAGUUCUUGAUAAUGUGAAUCUGAGGGCUUGGCAAUGGUGUUGGAUAAGGAUCCUAUGUGUGCAGGAACAUAUGUGUGGGACAGUUUUGUAGCUGUGUCUGCUAGCCAUUCUGAUGGCUUGCAGCUAAGAAUUUAUGUGACCAUAUGAAAUCUAACAGAAUACCUUCAUGAUAGAGAAGGGAUUGUUCUUACCAGAUGUGGGUGAUGAAACACCAUAGUCUGCUUAAAAUAUAUAAGACUAGUGUUAUGGCCCAUGGCUGUGUCACAGAGAGACAACACAUGCACCAGGAUGUGGGAUUUCUGGAAAUAUUUCCAAAAAAGUGAGUCUCUUUCAUAGCUUUUUACAUAUACUGGUAGACUAAUAUGGAAUCAGGUGGUGAUGCUACUGGGGCUGUGGCAACAGCAAAGACAAACAUCUAUGGAACUUCUCAGUAAUGACUGAAAUGAUGAAAUAAAGUAGAAGUUCAGUCUUUUGGGAUUAAAUGU
This 957-nucleotide long non-coding RNA is filed under the name Anas platyrhynchos platyrhynchos (common mallard). Its description in RNAcentral is "lncRNA (ENSAPLG00000017189.1)". The record is from RNAcentral. Lineage: Eukaryota; Metazoa; Chordata; Aves; Anseriformes; Anatidae.